GAAUGGGGCUUUUGGGGGGCUCGCAGAAGCUUCUCCCCGACCCCAUCUCAAAGGACCAGGGCAGAAGCAUACAUGCCUCCUCUCAAUAAGGAUUGGGGUGGGUGGGAUGCUCAGCAAACGUCAUCACCUCCGGGCUCUGCAGCAAUCAUGGUAAUUCCACGGACCUAGCAGACGUGGACGUUAUUUUCUAAGCCAUUAGAAAAAUUUCAAAUCACAGACUUCAGCCAUGGAAUAUCACUGCACACCCAGGGGGACGGCUGCCUCAGGCAUAGCUUAAUCUCCGCCCCCCCCUCCAAAGUUAGCUAUUGUAUGAUUGAGGAAAAGAAUAUCUGAAUGAGCAUCCACCCAAACCUGUGGAUACUCACACGUUCCUCUGGGGGAAAAAGCAAUUUCUUGGGUUUUCCUCAAUAUGGAAGAAAGCUAAGCAAGGCCCAGAAAGGAACAGUUCUCCCCAUUGCCAUCAUUUCUAUUCUGCGUGUUGCUGCCUCAGUGAAGAUCAAACAGCCUGUCCAUUUUUUCAGUUUUUAAAUGGUUAGAAAGAAAUUUACCGGCAACUGGAUUCCUGGUUCUGUGUUCUUCAAGUACCUUCAGUUGUUUAAAUCAAAAACAACAGAGAAGGAAGUACCUGG
This 629-nucleotide long non-coding RNA is filed under the name Monodelphis domestica (gray short-tailed opossum). Its description in RNAcentral is "lncRNA (ENSMODG00000039450.1)". The record is from RNAcentral. Lineage: Eukaryota; Metazoa; Chordata; Mammalia; Didelphimorphia; Didelphidae.